Molecule: ribosomal RNA, 1243 nt
Filed under: Chaetocnema confinis
Lineage: Eukaryota; Metazoa; Arthropoda; Insecta; Coleoptera; Chrysomelidae
Description: 16S ribosomal RNA
Rfam family: Archaeal large subunit ribosomal RNA (bases 1004-1162)
Source: RNAcentral
AUUAAAUGUAAAAAUUAAUUAAAUUUUAUUAUUAAUAAAAGAAAAAAUUUUUUUUAUGAUAGUUUAUGGUAUUGUGAAAGAUUUCUUAGAAUUAAAAAAAAGAAAAAUUUAAUUUUUGUACCUUGUGUAUCAGGGUUUAUUAAAAUUUAAUUAAAAAUUUAAUAUUCUCGAAUUUAAAAGAGCUAAUAGGUUAUUAUUUAAAAUGUAUAAUAAUUUUAUUAAAUUAUUUAUUAGUAAUGAAAUGUUAUUCUUUUUUAGUUAUAUCUAGUUUUUUAAGAAAUAAAUUUAAUUUAAUUAUUUGUAAUAUAAAUUUUUAUUUUUAUAAUUAUAUUAUUAAUAAUUAAUAUAUAUAGGGAUUAGCUUAUAUAUAAAUUAUUAUUAGAUUUAAAUUAUUUAAAAAUUUUAGGAUUAAAAAUAUCUAUAAUUAAAGUAUAUUAUAAUUUAUUUAUUUUUUAUAUAAUUUAAAUUUUCUAUUAUUUUUAUAUUAAAAUUUAUUUUAAAAUUAUAAUUAAUUAUUAAUAAUGAUAAAAUUAGUAUAAUAUUUUAUUAAAAUUUAUAAGAUUAUUAAGGUUAAUUUAAGGAACUCGGCAAAUAAGUUUUUCACCUGUUUAAUAAAAACAUGUCUUUUUGAGUAUAAUUUAAAGUCUAGCCUGCCCACUGAGAUUUUAAAGGGCCGCAGUAUUUUGACUGUGCUAAGGUAGCAUAAUCAUUAGUUUUUUUAUUGAAAGCUGGAAUGAAGGGUUGAAUGAAAAAAUUACUGUCUCAAAUUAAUUUUUUUAAAAUUUUAUUUUUAAGUUAAAAAGCUUAAAUAUUUUUAAAAGACGAGAAGACCCUAUAGAGUUUUAUAAUUAAAUUUUAAUAAAAAAUUAGAAUUAAUUUUUUAUUGAUAUUUAUUUAUUUAAUUGGGGUGAUUAAAAAAUAUACUAAACUUUUUUUUUAUUGAUAUAUAAAUUAAUAGUUUUAUGAUCCAAAAAUUUUGAGUGUAAGAUUAAAUUACCUUAGGGAUAACAGCGUAAUUUUAUUAAAGAGUUCUAAUCGAUAAUAAAGAUUGCGACCUCGAUGUUGGAUUAAAAUUUAAAUUUGGUGUAGAAGCUAAGUUUUUAAGUCUGUUCGACUUUUAAAAUUUUACAUGAUCUGAGUUUAAACCGGUGUGAGCCAGGUUGGUUUCUAUCUUUAAAUAAAGUUUAUAUUUUAGUACGAAAGGACCAAAUUUAAAUAAUACUUAUUUUUAUUGAUUAAAUAU